UCUCGAGAGCACUAUCUUCAUCCGUAUACUCUUCUCUCAUUCUCUUCCCCAUAUCACGCAUGAGUGCAUCAUCAUCACCAAAUAAAGUGAACAGUGGGGGCUCCUCCUCUUUCUCCUCCAUAAUGGUAAUGCCAGGUGCCCCAAUAACACUGACAUGACUACUAUGUAAGGCUGUGAUGUCCGCCUAAGCCUAUGAAAGGUUAGCAAAUAUCUGCGUCAAAUAUAUGAGCUGAAUCUCCUUCUACCUCAAGUUCACUCGCUCCUCUAUACCGUCAAACGUCCAUGCAUCUCACACACGAACUGAUCUAAGGGCUCUCUCCAGGGGAACCACAACAUCUAUUAACGUCGGAAUGUAAGGCUGGAACUGUUGGGUGAGCAAAGUAAACUGCCUCUCCGUGCUCUGUCUGCUUUACUAUAUCACUUAAUCCUUCAUGGGUGAGUGUAAUAACUACAGUAGAGGCAGGAGAACGUACUUAAAUAGAAGGAUAUGCAGUAUCCCCAUUAUCAAUUUGUGUGAGAGUAUCAUCUUGAUCACCCACCUCGAUCAUCUAAGCCAACAAAUUGCCCUCAGAAGAGGAAGACACUGAGUCUUACUCUUAGACACAAGAUUUGCCUCGUCUCAAAUCAAUCUGAUAUCCUGAACAUACAGGGCUUCCACCAUAUGAUCAACACUCGAGAAUAUUAGCACGCCGACCUAUCUUUACAGUGCAGCUACAAGGCAUGGAAAAAGGAUGGAAGUACUAUCCCACAAGGCCCUCUGUCAAAUCUCUGCAAUGAUAUAUGAGCUAUAUUAAUGUCUUACCUCAAUAAGAGUUUAGCUACUAGGAAAGCUCGAUUUGAUGUGAGAGAAUUAUCAGAAGUUGUGGGACUCAACCUUAAUCGUACCACAACCCACCAAAAUAUAGCAGCAAAGUUCAAGGCUGCCUUAGUGCUAUCAGCUUUGUCAUUCUUUAACCAUCCUGGGUCUUUGUCAGUAAGCAAGGUGGAAAUCCAUUUCAGCUGCCU
RNAcentral lists this long non-coding RNA (1005 nucleotides) under Capsicum annuum. RNAcentral describes it as "long non-coding RNA (CANN_LNC015723)". Lineage: Eukaryota; Viridiplantae; Streptophyta; Magnoliopsida; Solanales; Solanaceae. The record is from RNAcentral.